This is a long non-coding RNA of Ooceraea biroi (clonal raider ant), 608 nucleotides long. RefSeq lists it as uncharacterized. NCBI's taxonomy places the organism in Eukaryota, Metazoa, Arthropoda, Insecta, Hymenoptera, Formicidae. The record is from RefSeq and is a predicted model, not a curated record.
GUGCAUUACAAUAUACUAUUUGAUUGGCGCGAGACACUGCCGUGUCUCUUGAUACGCGUAUCAAACGAUCGGUGUAACUAGGUCAUUAUCAUGGUCUAUGACUUACGUCAAAUGGAUUUGAUACAUCGACCAUCAGUGACUGGUGUCUACGCGUGUCUCGGAUUUGCAUCGUAGCAACGUUUUACGCAGUUAGCCAUAGAAGGAAGGAAGAUAUCAAAAUACGGACCGUCAAAAUAAGAACCGAGAAAAGGUUAAUUUAGGUUACGUUGGUUAUAUUUAAGUCGCUUUGCGCCCAUAUCUAUACAAGGAUACAAGGUCGCUUUGCACCCAUACAAGAAAAAGAUAUAAUUACCAGAGGCGAAUGGCUUAUCGAUACACAUAUAAAUAAUUUCCAACGACUUUUACAAAGUUGUUCAGAUUAUAAACCUGUUGAUACAGUGCUAAUACAGCAUCCUGAUUCAAUAGAACCCAUACCGAGAAAUAGAAAGCAUAUCCAGAUACUACAUAGUUCGUUGGGAGGAGGACAUUGGGUAUGUAGUUAUUAUGAUACAAAAAACAUAUGUAUUUACGAUUCUUUAAAUAAUAAAAUGUUACAUGAGCAUUAUAAA